RNAcentral lists this ribosomal RNA (253 nucleotides) under uncultured bacterium. Its description in RNAcentral is "partial 16S ribosomal RNA". It matches the Rfam family "Bacterial small subunit ribosomal RNA", at positions 102 to 353 of the family's 1533-position model. The record is from RNAcentral.
ACGGGUGAGUAACGCGUGGGUAACCUGCCUUGUACUGGGGGACAACAGUUGGAAACGACUGCUAAUACCGCAUAAGCGCACAGCUUCGCAUGAAGCAGUGUGAAAAACUCCGGUGGUACAAGAUGGACCCGCGUCUGAUUAGCUGGUUGGUGAGGUAACGGCUCACCAAGGCGACGAUCAGUAGCCGGCUUGAGAGAGUGAACGGCCACAUUGGGACUGAGACACGGCCCAAACUCCUACGGGAGGCAGCAUG